This 449-nucleotide ribosomal RNA is filed under the name uncultured bacterium. RNAcentral's name for it is "partial 16S ribosomal RNA". It matches the Rfam family "Bacterial small subunit ribosomal RNA", at positions 29 to 523 of the family's 1533-position model. The record is from RNAcentral.
AACGAACGCUGGCGGCAUGCCUAACACAUGCAAGUCGAACGAGAUCUUCGGGUCUAGUGGCGCACGGGUGCGUAACGCGUGGGAAUCUGCCCUUUGGUUCGGAAUAACAGUUGGAAACGACUGCUAAUACCGGAUGAUGACGAAAGUCCAAAGAUUUAUCGCCAGAGGAUGAGCCCGCGUAGGAUUAGCUAGUUGGUGUGGUAAAGGCGCACCAAGGCGACGAUCCUUAGCUGGUCUGAGAGGAUGAUCAGCCACACUGGGACUGAGACACGGCCCAGACUCCUACGGGAGGCAGCAGUGGGGGAUAUUGGACAAUGGGCGAAAGCUUGAUCCAGCAAUGCCGCGUGAGUGAUGAAGGCCUUAGGGUUGUAAAGCUCUUUUACCCGGGAUGAUAAUGACAGCACCGGGAGAAUAAGCUCCGGCUAACUCCGUGCCAGCCGCCGCGGUAA